This 394-nucleotide ribosomal RNA is filed under the name uncultured bacterium. Its description in RNAcentral is "bacterial SSU rRNA". It matches the Rfam family "Bacterial small subunit ribosomal RNA", at positions 28 to 420 of the family's 1533-position model. The record is from RNAcentral.
GACGAACGCUGGCGGCGUGCUUAACACAUGCAAGUCGAGCGGUAAGGCCCUUUCGGGGUACGACGAGCGGCGAACGGGUGAGUAACACGUGGGUGACCUGCCCUCAGCUCUGGGAUAAGCCUGGGAAACUGGGUCUAAUACUGGAUAUGACUCCACGGUGCAUGUCGUGGGGUGGAAAGCCUUGUGCGGCUGAGGAUGGGCCCGCGGCCUAUCAGCUUGUUGGUGGGGUGANGGGCCCUACCAAGGCGACGACGGGUAGCCGGCCUGAGAGGGCGACCGGCCACACUGGGACUGAGACACGGCCCAGACUCCUACGGGGAGGCAGCAGUGGGGAAUCUUGCGCAAUGGGCGAAAGCCUGACGCAGCGACGCCGCGUGAGGGAUGACGGCCUCGG